This 409-nucleotide ribosomal RNA is filed under the name Rhizobium sp. Its description in RNAcentral is "bacterial SSU rRNA". It matches the Rfam family "Bacterial small subunit ribosomal RNA", at positions 948 to 1354 of the family's 1533-position model. The record is from RNAcentral. Lineage: Bacteria; Pseudomonadati; Pseudomonadota; Alphaproteobacteria; Hyphomicrobiales; Rhizobiaceae.
AAUUCGAAGCAACGCGCAGAACCUUACCAGCUUUUGACAUUCGGGGUAUGGGCAUUGGAGACGAUUUCUUUCAGUUGGGCUGCCCCCCGAACAGGUGCUGCAUGGCUGUCGUCAGCUCGCGUCGUGAGAUCUUGGGUUAAGUCCCGCAACGAGCGCAACCCUCGCCCUUAGUUGCCAGCAUUUAGUUGGGCACUCUAAGGGGACUGCGGGUGAUAAGCCGAGAGGAAGGUGGGGAUGACGUCAAGUCCUCAUGGCCCUUAGGGGGUGGGCUACACACGUGAUACAAUGGUGGUGACAGUGGGCAGCGAGACAGCGAUGUCGAGAUAAUCUGCAAAAGCCAUUUCAUUUCGGAUUGCAUUCUGCAAUUGGAGUGCAUGAAGUUGGAAUCGCUAGUAAUCGCAGAUCAGCA